AAGUCGUAACAAGGUCUCCGUAGGUGAACCUGCGGAGGGAUCAUUACAGAGACUCUGCCCUUUGGGUAGACCUCCCACCCUGUGUCGUUAUACCUCUGUUGCUUUGGCGGGCCGCGGGGCUCCGGCCCCGCCCCUGGCUCCGGCUAGGGCGCGCCCGCCAGAGGACUACCAAACCUGAAUGUUAGUGUCGUCUGAGUACUAUGUAAUAGUUAAAACUUUCAACAACGGAUCUCUUGGUUCUG
RNAcentral lists this unclassified non-coding RNA (242 nucleotides) under air metagenome. Its description in RNAcentral is "partial contains small subunit ribosomal RNA, internal transcribed spacer 1, and 5.8S ribosomal RNA". The stretch from base 1 to 46 matches the Rfam family "Eukaryotic small subunit ribosomal RNA", at positions 1786 to 1831 of the family's 1831-position model. The record is from RNAcentral.